Molecule: long non-coding RNA, 3019 nt
Filed under: Mustela putorius furo (domestic ferret)
Lineage: Eukaryota; Metazoa; Chordata; Mammalia; Carnivora; Mustelidae
Description: lncRNA (ENSMPUG00000029337.1)
Source: RNAcentral
AAUCCAAAGAUUCAGUGACUUAAGGGAGUCAAAGUUUAUUUCUUGUUUCACAGGAAGGUACAGAUGGAUGGCUGUCCCUGGCAGCUCUCUCUGACCAUGUGGGCUCCUUUCACUGGGCACAACUUGGAGUCAAUUGCUUGCAGUUUUGUAGAUGAAGAAGAGAAAGCAAAAAGGACAUCGGGAUCUUACAUGACCAGGCUGAAAGGAGGCACCUACCUUUUGCCUCUAUUCAAUCUGUCAGAAGUCUGUGGUGUGACCAACCCGACUGCAAAGACAGGACUGAGAGGCAUUCGUGAAGACCGAAAGGCACACAGAAGCCCCAUGUUCGACUUUCAGAGGAUCACCGAUGUCACUUUUUUUUUUUUUAAAUCUGCGUGAAGGAUGGCAUCUUGAAAUUUUCCAAACUGGGAAACCAACUCAGCAGACAAACAACCUGCUCAUAGUCAAAUCACCCAAUCAGGCCAAGGAGGCCACGGCACCUGGGCCUCCUGACUCCCAGCAUCCCUCUCCAACAAGCGACUCACACUUCUAAAAAGGUGACAUUUUAGCAGUCUGUUUAUAAACUGCCAAAGGAACAUUUAUCAUGAGGUGCAAACAAAAGAGGCACUGGAGAGGGAUGUUUUUCUGUGGGCUUUUCAGAACUGGAAACACACCUCCCAGACCUCCCCAACACCUCCUGUUAGCUGACUCAGCCCCUCUGCUAUCAGCAGAGUGCCUUUCAGCAGAACAGGGGCCCCGAAGGAAGACAGGUGCUGAGGGAAACUAGGGCUGGCAGGUCCAGGGUAGCUGGCAUGUCAGAAUCCUCCACAACUGUGUCCAAAGGAUUAUUAAAAGAAUAUGCUGAGGGGAAAUUUUUCUGAUUAGAGCAGGAGACAAGAGUUCAGGAGGUCAUGGAAUUGCUGAGGGAAAACACCCCUGACUGACUCUAGGCGCCCCCAGCAUUAUAUUAAAUUUUGACAGGCUACCCAAGAUGGAAAAACAAAUAGACACUUCCUUCAACAAGACGGUGAUAAAUCAAGUUGUUCUCCAUGCCCAGUGGCCCCUGAAGCUCAGACCUAAGGAGUGCUGUGCUGUAUUCUCUGGUGAUUUAUCCAGCUUGCUGUCUGCCAACUCUUUGGGGAAAUACCAGAAUCAGAAGUUAAUGUCCUGAGUAGCAGCUACCAUGAGAACAUUACUCAUUAACUUGGAAAACCUGAAAGUAAUCAGAAAGAUCUGGCUCCAGCCUUGAUGCCAGACAAAUAUGGAGCUGGCUGUCUCAUUCCCAUGGAGGUCACAGGCCAGGCCAUCCGUGACAGCAUGGGCAAUAAACCAAACCAGUGGAUCAACCAGGCUUGGGUGAGUACUGUUGAAGCUCAGAAGGGUGCAGAGCUACAAGGUAUUCUGAGCAUCACAGCAUGUCCCCCAAUACUGGACUCAGUCAAAUGUUUAUGGCCAAUGUACGGACCUGAUCCACCUUAGAUCCAAGCACCUGUGGGCCACCCCGGACUAGGUACCAUGCAGAUUCCCUCUGUCCUCCUCCCAUUCCCUCCCUUUUUCCCUCUCUCUUUUGUCUUUCCUCCCCCUCCCCUCUUUCUCUCUCUGUUCUUGCUCUCUCUCUAAUUUCUCUCAACCAACAAAUGGAAGUGAAGGCUUAAGGGGGCAGAGAUGGGAGUCAGACAAAUUCUGUGCUGUUCUGGGAAAGGGGAGAGACAAACACCUUAUGCCCCAUCAGUUAAAAGCUGCUUGGAGUAGUGGCGCCUGGGUGGCUCAGUGUGUUAAGCGGCCGACUCUUGAUUUCAGCUCAGAUCAUGAUCUCAGGGCCCUGGGAUCCAGCCCCGUUCAACAGAGAAUCUGCUCCAAGAUUUUCCCUCUUCCUCUACCCCUCCCCCUGCAUGUUCUUUCCCUCAUUCUCUCAAAUAAAUAAAUAAAUCUUAAAAAAAAAAAAAAAAAAGAGCUCUUAGAGCCACCGCUUUCAGGCUGGGGCAGGUAAGCGACGCAGCGAAGUCUCGCACUGACAUAUUUGUUUACAUGACUGCUCCUUCCUAAGCUGUGGGCAUCUUAAAGACAAAACCUAGGUCUUCAAGUCUUUCAAAACAAUAUGUGUUUUUCUCUGACUAUGAAAAAAAAUACAUGCUAAUUAGAGGAAAAGGAAAAUACAAAAAAAGAUCUUUUCAAAAGUAGCUUUUAGAAUAGUAUUUGGAACAAAACAGGGACUCAAUAAAAUUGUGUCGGAGAGAGGUCAAAAAGGGGAGGAGAGGUCAAGGAUAGGCGAACUGUGACAUCAGUCUCUUCAUUAGAAUGCACAUAAUUCAGCAGCGGCCGCGUGGAGGCCGUGAGUCAUGAGGCGCAGAGCUGCAGAGGGGUUCUGUGUGGGGCUUCGGCUUCGCGACUUCCUCUAGCUCUGGACACCAGCCCUGCUUUGGGGCUCCUGUGUUAGAGUUUAUCGGGCGGUCUACAGUGAAUUCGCUCCACAGCCAGAAACUGGGAUUAUUUAGCCUGGAGAAGGGAAGCCUCAGGAACAAUUUAGCAAUUGCUCUGGUGCUAUCAAUUCCGUUAGCGAAAAUAAUUAUGUUUAUUAGGAACCAAUUGGGGCAUAGACAUGAAUCCCCGGGAGUUGGUCUUGUUGAUAUUUGGCACAGCUCCCCAGGCACGUUUCCUAGACGUACACUUUUGUCGUUUGGUGUUUUCUGUCAGUGGAGUCAUGCUCAGUCUCAGCAGGGGCAUGAGUUAUCAGUGGCCAGGAAACCCAUGUAGUGAGCCUGGCCUUGAAAAAGACAGGAUGGAGGAGCAUAUAAAAUGCCAAAAUGCAUGGCAUGCAGGGUAGGCAAGCAUUGUUUCAGGCAACCUUCAUGUCAGUGAUAAAAAUACAUCUGGGCAUCCUGGGUCGAGAUGUCAAAUGAACUGUUUACUGUGGGCUGUGGUGAAAUGGUUUGAAAACCACCAUAGAAUAUUUCUUUCUGUUUGUUCCACUGACCAAUUUAACAGAAAAAUGGUUAUAUGCUAUUUAUUACAUAUUAACAAUAAUGUCAUUGUAAUUAGU